Acanthochromis polyacanthus (spiny chromis) is the source of this 2103-nucleotide long non-coding RNA. RefSeq lists it as uncharacterized. The record is from RefSeq and is a predicted model, not a curated record. Lineage: Eukaryota; Metazoa; Chordata; Actinopteri; Pomacentridae. The transcript has 3 exons.
GUACCGAUAGGUCAACAGGAUGAGCCCUUGCCCUUGGCGCGGCGGCCGCGAGUUCGAGCCUAGCCUGUGGCAUUUUACCACCGUUCUUCGACAUUUUCUCAAAGUGCUGUGGUCUCCGUCCCCCCACUUUUAAAAACAAACUGACGCCCUUGGCUAUAUGCAUCUCACAGAUGUCCAGGGCGAAGACGUGCAGGACUUUACACAGAAACGGUGGGAAACUUACACAACCUGCGUUAGACAGUGGCUUUCUCCGGUUGCAGAAGGCUGUUGAGCUGAAGGAGGACACCAGCGUGCUUUUGCACAUUAAAGAAAAAGACUGUGUAGCCCUGGAGGUGCGGUACCACAGGACCUGUUACGCACAGUCCACAAAGUUUUUGUCAAGGCCUAUGGAAACAAGUACUGCAACCCCAGAUGAAGCAACUGAAACACCAUUCACUGACAGCUACAAUUUCUUCUGUGAGACUGUCAUCCGUCAAAGGAUUAUAGUUGACUAGGAAGUGCUGCGAAUGGACAAGCUAAGAAAGACAUUUGUGGACAUAGUGAAGAAUCAAGAGGGUCUUGAUGCUUCAGAAUACAGGCAGGAUCUACUGAAGAGGCGGCUGACUGUGACUUCCCACAGCUCACUUUCCACUGCCCUGCCAAGAGAAACAUCAGUGAACUUGUUUUUGUUGAGACACUGUCAGCUGAUAGACUAUUACAAAAGAUACCUCCACAGUCAGGUACAUCUACUGAGUCCACUGAGGUAAGCCAAGCUGAAAGCCAAACUGAAAGUGACAGUGAACACAUGGCUAGCACAACAUCUGGACAGAAUACUCCUGAUGUCACAAGGACACUGUACAGUGCAGGCUUGAUCUUAAAGAGGGUUCUCAGUGACUCUCCAGGUAUGACAUGCCCCUGGCCUCCCAUCGCUGACAAUUUAAAUGUGUCUGAUGCUCAAUCUGUUGUGCCAGAAGAACUAUAUAAUCUAAUUGCAUGGAUUAUAGGGGCAUCAGAUGAGGCAACAGGAGUGGGUUAUGUCGAUAUUCCCGAUGAUGUUAGGCUAAAAGUUCUAUCUGUUUGUCAAGACAUUGUUUACCUUGCAUCUAAAGGUCGAAAGCAGACACCAAAGUCAUUGUGCCUUGGGUUAACUGUACGCCAUUUAACAGGAUCAUCUAAUCUUUUGUCAUUGCUGAAUAGACUAGGACAUUGUGCUUCAUGGAACACAGUACUCAGUCUAGACACUAGCCUAGCUGAACUACAACUGCUAGAGAAUAGAGACAAAAUCCCAAAGGGUUUCUCAAAGAAGGUGCCUACAAUACUGGUGUGGGACAACAUUGAUUUUGGGGAGGAGACACUGUCUGGUGGUGGAACCACUCACCAUACAAAUGGCAUUAUCCUACAAAGUUCUGUCACUGAAAUGAGUCAGGAUCAGACAGACCGCCGCUACAGAAGGCAGUUUACACAUUCAAAGCACCUCCUAGCAUCCCUGUAGAACACUACCAACAGUCUAAAAGACAAGGGCCACAGAGGUUCUCACAAGGAAAGUGUUCCAUUGCAGGCAGAAACAUACAGGUUGAAUACGGUGUCGGCUGCCAAAACUGAACUGGCAUAUGUUUUAUUGAAGUAUGCAGAUGCUGAAGCAUGCACAGUGCCAAGCUGGACAGGUUUCCAUGCAAUGCUUCAAUGUAAUGCGACUUUGCAAAAGUCAGCAUUGUAUUAUCUUCCAGUCAUUGAGGCUUCACCGACAGAGAUGUCAACUGUGAACACAAUUCUGAAGAGAAGUGUUGCAGUUGCUGAUCAGCUAGAACUGGACCAGGUAGUAUUAGUUUUUGACCAAGCUAUAUAUGCCAAAGCUCAACAAAUCCGCUGGAAAAUGACGAUUUCAUGAAGCGGCUAGUGAUUCGACUAGGUGAGUUUCAUACAUGCAUGUCUUUCCUAGGUAUUUUAGGAAAAAGGUUUGGUGAUGCAGGAUUGCAAGAUUUACUCAUUGAGUCAGAAGUUGUUGCCCCAGGAUCCAUCACUGGGGUGAUCAGUGGUCAUCAGUACAACCGCAGCAUGAGGGCACACAAACUUAUGUAUGAGAGUCUGCAACGUAUUUGUAUGUGUAUUAAUCUAUAUUUUCAU